RNAcentral lists this ribosomal RNA (418 nucleotides) under bacterium enrichment culture clone ALO1_GLFRUDD03FKAK2. Its description in RNAcentral is "bacterial SSU rRNA". It matches the Rfam family "Bacterial small subunit ribosomal RNA", at positions 9 to 429 of the family's 1533-position model. The record is from RNAcentral.
GAGUUUGAUCUUGGCUCAGAUUGAACGCUGGCGGCAUGCCUUACACAUGCAAGUCGAACGGCAGCACGGGAGCUUGCUCCUGGUGGCGAGUGGCGAACGGGUGAGUAAUGCAUCGGAACGUAUCCUGGAGUGGGGGAUAACGUAGCGAAAGUUACGCUAAUACCGCAUAUUCUGUGAGCAGGAAAGCGGGGGACCUUCGGGCCUCGCGCUCUUGGAGCGGCCGAUGUCGGAUUAGCUAGUUGGUGAGGUAAAGGCUCACCAAGGCGACGAUCCGUAGCAGGUCUGAGAGGAUGAUCUGCCACACUGGAACUGAGACACGGUCCAGACUCCUACGGGAGGCAGCAGUGGGGAAUUUUGGACAAUGGGGGCAACCCUGAUCCAGCCAUGCCGCGUGAGUGAAGAAGGCCUUCGGUGUAAG